Molecule: ribosomal RNA, 253 nt
Filed under: uncultured bacterium
Lineage: Bacteria
Description: partial 16S ribosomal RNA
Rfam family: Bacterial small subunit ribosomal RNA
Source: RNAcentral
UACGUAGGAGGCGAGCGUUGUCCGGAUUUAUUGGGCGUAAAGAGCGUGUAGGCGGCCAGGUAGGUCUGCUGUGAAAACUCGAGGCUCAACCUCGAGACGUCGGCGGAAACCAUCUGGCUAGAGUCCGGAAGAGGAGAGUGGAAUUCCUGGUGUAGCGGUGAAAUGCGUAGAUAUCGGGAGGAACACCUGUGGCGAAAGCGGCUCACUGGACCACAACUGACGCUGAGGCGCGAAAGCUAGGGGAGCAAACAGG